UAUAUUUUAGUAUAUGAUGUACAAAAGUUUUUGAUACUUUUAGAGAUAGUUUAACUCUGUUAAAUAUAA
This 69-nucleotide transfer RNA is filed under the name Archichauliodes diversus. RNAcentral describes it as "tRNA-Gln". Lineage: Eukaryota; Metazoa; Arthropoda; Insecta; Megaloptera; Corydalidae. The record is from RNAcentral.